AUGGGCCCUGGGCUCCUCUGCUGGGUGCUGCUUUGUCUCCUGGGAGCAGGCCCAGUGGACGCUGGAGUCACCCAAAGUCCCACACACCUGAUCAAAACGAGAGGACAGCAAGUGACUCUGAGAUGCUCUCCUAUCUCUGGGCACAAGAGUGUGUCCUGGUACCAACAGGUCCUGGGUCAGGGGCCCCAGUUUAUCUUUCAGUAUUAUGAGAAAGAAGAGAGAGGAAGAGGAAACUUCCCUGAUCGAUUCUCAGCUCGCCAGUUCCCUAACUAUAGCUCUGAGCUGAAUGUGAACGCCUUGUUGCUGGGGGACUCGGCCCUGUAUCUCUGUGCCAGCAGCUUGG
Molecule: non-coding RNA, 343 nt
Organism: Homo sapiens (human)
Lineage: Eukaryota; Metazoa; Chordata; Mammalia; Primates; Hominidae
Source: the annotation of a RefSeq genome assembly